AAAUCUCUAAGGUGUAGAGAGUGAAAAAUAAAAGUUGUAAUUGGUGAGGAGUGUUGUUGAAGAAAUAAAAUAGUGUGUUUUUUGUGUGUUUUAUUUAUUAAUUCUCCAACAAGAUCUACUCAUUGAUCCUUAUUAUUUGGUAUUAGAGCAGGCAUCACAUCCAGUAUGGAAUCGGUGUAUGGGUACGGCUCCGUGACCUCGAUGUUACGAAUAGGGUGAAUUUGCUACUUAGAAAAAGAUGAGAUUCAUGAUCGCGAUGUUACAGAUGGGGCAACCUGGAAAGGGUUUCUACUCAGAAAAAGAUGAGAUUCAUGACCAAUGUUAUAGAUUGGGCAAAUCUGAAUGGUGCUCCUACUCAGAAAAAGAUGAGAUCAACGAAAUCACCGAAUUGAGAAUGAUUGGGUAAUAUCUCAGAUGGAAAGAAUACAACAACGUAAAUGAGAAUAUAAACUUAUGGACACCCGCCCUUACAAGUUGAUUUUUGGGUGAGUUCUACCCGUGAGUCCUUAUCAUGUUGUUGUUCGUUACAAGGAAACUACGUUUCUAAUGAGAAGACCGAUCGACUUGGUGCUAACAAAACUCGAAGCUUGUUUCAGUUGUCAUAACCAAUCAUGAUAUAUAAUAUAGCUUGUCAUUUGUUAUUAACAAAUAGUUCUUGGCUUUUGCAAUAAAUUAUUGGCUUUAAAUAGACUUGAUCUAUAAUAACCUUAAGAGAUAGAUUUUUUAUUAUAAAUGUUUAGAUUUAAAGUUUAAACAAAGUAGAACAACAAUG
This 772-nucleotide long non-coding RNA is filed under the name Citrus maxima (pomelo). Its description in RNAcentral is "long non-coding RNA (CMAX_LNC004085)". Lineage: Eukaryota; Viridiplantae; Streptophyta; Magnoliopsida; Sapindales; Rutaceae. The record is from RNAcentral.